AGCAACCUGAGCUCAGUCGUGAUUACCCGCCGAACUUAAGCAUAUCAUUCAGCGGAGG
This 58-nucleotide ribosomal RNA is filed under the name Oscheius chongmingensis. RNAcentral's name for it is "partial 28S ribosomal RNA". Lineage: Eukaryota; Metazoa; Nematoda; Chromadorea; Rhabditida; Rhabditidae. The record is from RNAcentral.